CAGUAGCCGCGGGAAUACAUAGGGUGCGAGCGUUAAUCGGAUUUACUGGGCGUAAAGCGUGCGUAGGCGGCUAAUUGAGUCGGAUGUGAAAUCCCCGAGCUUAACUUGGGAAUUGCAUUCGAUACUGGUUAGCUAGAGUGUGGGAGAGGAUGGUAGAAUUCCAGGUGUAGCGGUGAAAUGCGUAGAGAUCUGGAGGAAUACCGAUGGCGAAGGCAGCCAUCUGGCCUAACACUGACGCUGAGGUACGAAAGCAUGGGGAGCAAACAGGAUUAGAUACCCGAGUAGUCCCUGUCUCUUAUAC
RNAcentral lists this ribosomal RNA (301 nucleotides) under uncultured bacterium. Its description in RNAcentral is "partial 16S ribosomal RNA". It matches the Rfam family "Bacterial small subunit ribosomal RNA", at positions 509 to 807 of the family's 1533-position model. The record is from RNAcentral.